Long non-coding RNA from Callorhinus ursinus (northern fur seal), 327 nucleotides. RefSeq lists it as uncharacterized. The record is from RefSeq and is a predicted model, not a curated record. NCBI's taxonomy places the organism in Eukaryota, Metazoa, Chordata, Mammalia, Carnivora, Otariidae.
GGAGCUUUCAAGUUACUUUGCUCCAUCCCUGCACCCGGCAGAGGCUUUCAGGCUGCGUGGACUCUCCAAAAUUUAUUCUUGGGAAGACUGACAGCCGGGGUCAAGAAACAGCUGUUGAAGUUAAUGUUUCUUCCUCCCACUUCGUCUGAUGGUUGUGCCCUGCCAAGACAAAGUGAAACCAGAAGGUGUCUUCCCAUCUCUGUUUAAAGAAGUCAUGUACCAAUCUGCAGAGAAAUGCCUGUAUACACGGAGAGUCUUCAAAUUUAUAUCAAGAGGCUUCCAAUGUCAUGCAUCUAAUUACAAUCCAAAUACCUAAAUAUAAAUAUA